CCUACGGGUGGCAGCAGUCGAGAAUCAUUCACAAUGGGGGAAACCCUGAUGGAGCGACGCCGCGUGGGGGAAUGAAGGUCUUCGGAUUGUAAACCCCUGUCAUGUGGGAGCAAAUUAAAAAGAUAGUACCACAAGAGGAAGAGACGGCUAACUCUGUGCCAGCAACCGCGGUAAUACAGAGGUCUCAAGCGUUGUUCGGAAUCACGGGGCGUAAAGCGUGCGUAGGCUGUUUCGUAAGUCGUGUGUGAAAGGCGCGGGCUCAACCCGCGGACGGCACAUGAUACUGCGAGACUAGAGUGAUGGAGGGGGAACCGGAAUUCUCGGUGUAGCAGUGAAAUGCGUAGAUAUCGAGAGGAACACUCGUGGCGAAGGCGGGUUCCUGGACAUUAACUGACGCUGAGGCACGAAGGCCAGGGGAGCGAAAGGGAUUAGAUACCCUAGUAGUC
RNAcentral lists this ribosomal RNA (446 nucleotides) under uncultured bacterium. RNAcentral describes it as "partial 16S ribosomal RNA". It matches the Rfam family "Bacterial small subunit ribosomal RNA", at positions 338 to 795 of the family's 1533-position model. The record is from RNAcentral.